Molecule: long non-coding RNA, 818 nt
Organism: Cygnus olor (mute swan)
Lineage: Eukaryota; Metazoa; Chordata; Aves; Anseriformes; Anatidae
Exons: 3
Source: RefSeq, a predicted model, not a curated record
CUGCAUUUUGCCUCAGAGUCCUCACCCACUGCAUCCUUUUGGUCUGGCACAAGUGUUUACAUAGCUGCUCAACGAACCAGAGGAGAUACGGUUUAGGCUUAUAUAAAGACUCAACUGCACACACAAAAUUCUGGCGACAGCGAUAACAUGGCACCUAGAAAUAAAAGUAAAACAAAGAUCAGUUGAAGAAGCCCAGAGAGCAGCCUGAGGGAUGAGAUGACAACCCUAAUUGACGAGGAGGGUGGAAUCUGUCAGCAAAGUUAGUUUUCCAUUGGAUCAACUCACUGACCUGGCAAAAUCUGAUGUUGCGGGAUCACUAGAUCCAACAUGAGGAAAGUGGUGAGAGCACAGCACCACAAGAGAGCAAUCCGAAUGACUUUUUUCGGCAGCAGUCUGACUUACAGAGGAUGAGAUGUAACGUGAAAUCACUUUGCAGUUAGUAAUAGUGCUGUUUUAUCACACUAAACAAACAGGGAAAUGUGACUAAAUGUCUCAAAUUCCCCUCCUUUUUCUCUCCUUAUUCUGCUUUCCAGUGCGGGGCCUGCAUUCACAUCAGCCUUCAUUUUAUCAGUACAUCAAGAAGAUGAAAGAUGCUUAAAUAAUUGUUUCCAUAGAUUUUUACAGGCAGUCUUUUUAACAUCUCUCUGACUGCCAUUCAACUUCUUGCCUCCAACCCUGCUCAGGCACAAUUUCUGGCAUCUUUACUUGAGGUGCCCAAAAUGGAACAACUAAAGAAACAAUGACACCUUAUCCCAAAGUAUUUACUCUUUCUUAUUUGUGGGAAUGUAUUAAAUUUGAGGGAUGAUAGGCUGCAUUCA